Molecule: long non-coding RNA, 277 nt
Organism: Spinacia oleracea (spinach)
Lineage: Eukaryota; Viridiplantae; Streptophyta; Magnoliopsida; Caryophyllales; Amaranthaceae
Exons: 3
Source: RefSeq, a predicted model, not a curated record
GACAAUGGUAAACUACUUAUCACUAUUGGGCUGGGGGGAUGGUACAGAUAAUGAAUUUUUCACUAUUGAACAACUUGUUGAAAAGUUCACUAUAGAACGUGCAAAUAAGAGUGGGGCUAUAUUUGAUUCUACUAAAUUUAGGUUGACAAUCUAAAAGGGGAGAUGGGAACAACACAGACAUGUGGCACUAGCUGGGCAGUAUUUGCAGUUCUGUUGAUGAUCAUUAGCUCAAAGUUGGAUGUUUCUGAAGGAGAACUCUUACCAUACGAUGAUGAAA